Molecule: small nucleolar RNA, 97 nt
Organism: Macaca fascicularis (crab-eating macaque)
Lineage: Eukaryota; Metazoa; Chordata; Mammalia; Primates; Cercopithecidae
Source: Ensembl
ACUCUUUUGUGGUUCAUAAGUGUGAUGAUGGGGUGUUCACAGGAAUGUGUGAGAUGUGUCACCUUCAAACCUUGUUGUGUCAUUUUUCUGCCUGCCU